This is a long non-coding RNA of Passer domesticus (house sparrow), 736 nucleotides long. RefSeq lists it as uncharacterized. The record is from RefSeq and is a predicted model, not a curated record. Lineage: Eukaryota; Metazoa; Chordata; Aves; Passeriformes; Passeridae. The transcript is spliced from 2 exons.
ACAAGAUGCAAGCAUGUAAAGGAGCAACGUGAAGACAUCGAAGUCAGUGAAGAAGUCCCAGAUGGGAGGGAUGAGGAGAUGCCUUAAUCUUGGGACAGAAAUCCUCUUGUAAAGCUGUGGAGAAAGACUCUUUUUCCAUAUAACGCAUGAAGGUAUGGGGAGAUGAAAAUGUUCAAAUUGUAGAUAUGGAGCAAAAGCCUCCAUGCUAAAGUAAGCAGAUGUUAAAGUAGCUGAAAUCUACGAGAAGUUUGAACAGAGAGAGAGAGAAGAGUGAAGACCCUGUGCUCCCAGGGAGAGAAGACCUCUGUUCCCAGAGAUGAUUUUAGAGAUAGAUAAAAUAAGAGCAUCAAGAAAACUGGAUGAAGAAUACAAAUUUGUCAUCCUUGAACCAAGAAUGACACAAGAACAGACGAGAGACUGAACUGCAAGAGGAAAAAAAGAAGCUUUAAUACAAAGGAUUCUCCAGUUUAUAUAGACGGAUACGAUACAUUCUGCUUGAUUGGCUAGUUAAAUAAAAACAUCUUUCUCACACACUGUCCUUGAGAAGAACAGAAAAAAAAAGUGGAAAAACAACACCUGCAGAUUGUUUUUACUAACAAGUUAUCACAUUCCUUCAACUCCCUAAAAUUCUCACAAGCCACUGUGAGAAAUGAUUGCCAUUUCUCUCUCACUGACCAGGCUGGCAUCCACAUAAAUUAAUUCUCACUGCUGCCAAAUUGAUAAAUCUUAUUUUCUA